GGCAGAGGGAGCCCGGCCACCGCCUUGCCGGGGGUAGGAUCCCGGCGGCGAGGAAAGUCCCCCCACCGUCCGGGCAGGCGACCGGACGCAAGUCCGGAGCGGAAGACCGCUGGCGCUGGAACAGCAACGACACGUCCCGUCCCGAGCGAUGAGGCGCGUGAGGUGACACAGUCGCCUCGCGGCGCGACCGGGUGACCGGUCGCGUGCGACCCGACCCGCGAGGGAAGGAAGCUAACCCGCCGAGCGCGCGUGGGCUUCGCCCACGUUCGGGCGAACGGCCAGACGGCCGUGAGCCGACGGACGGGGACCGAUGGAACGGCGAAACCUCGCCGGUGCAAGCCCGUCGCGAUUGGUAGCCCGGACGCCGCGGCGGGCGCUCAGCCGAAUGUCGGGCCGAACAGAAGGGGGCUUACUCCCCUCAGCC
Molecule: RNase P RNA, 424 nt
Filed under: Halobacteriales archaeon QS_9_67_17
Lineage: Archaea; Methanobacteriati; Methanobacteriota; Halobacteria; Halobacteriales
Description: RNase P RNA component
Rfam family: Archaeal RNase P
About the family: Ribonuclease P (RNase P) is a ubiquitous endoribonuclease, found in archaea, bacteria and eukarya as well as chloroplasts and mitochondria. Its best characterised activity is the generation of mature 5'-ends of tRNAs by cleaving the 5'-leader elements of precursor-tRNAs.
Source: RNAcentral